Molecule: long non-coding RNA, 294 nt
Organism: Nerophis lumbriciformis (worm pipefish)
Lineage: Eukaryota; Metazoa; Chordata; Actinopteri; Syngnathiformes; Syngnathidae
Source: RefSeq, a predicted model, not a curated record
CACCUGUCACGUCACGCACCUGUUUCACGUUCGGACUCACACACACCUGUCACCAAUCAUGUCACUGUUAUUUAAGCCUACCUUUGUUCAUCACUCGUUCUGCCUGCGUUGUUUUGAUGUCACACCGGUUUAUGUCUUGCUCUGACCAAGUAAGUUUCCCUGUCCAUGCCAUAGCUUCUGCUAAAGAUUAGCCUCACUUGCGUUUUAGGCACGCUUGCCUUUUUUUGUUGUUGUUGUAUUGUUUAUGUUUGUGGUAGUGCGUGAUUUAUGUUAAUAAAUCCUAGCCUACCUUCA